This is a long non-coding RNA of Saccostrea echinata, 1229 nucleotides long. RefSeq lists it as uncharacterized. Lineage: Eukaryota; Metazoa; Mollusca; Bivalvia; Ostreida; Ostreidae. The transcript is spliced from 6 exons. The record is from RefSeq and is a predicted model, not a curated record.
AGUACAGGCUCCGACCGAGGACUGAGGAAGCUUAGGAUGACUAAUAAGAAUGGUUGCGGCGAGUGUUUUGUUGUGGAGGUAUUAGAAGAAUGUGUAAGAAACAUACGGUGCUCAUGAUGCAACUUCCUGGAUGGUGUGUUAACUGUUUAUCAGCAUGUGAAAUCCACAUGAUUGAAGGAGAAGUCUCCCUUGUUAAAGAUCAGCAACGGCAGAUAAACAAUGCAUGAUGCAAUCUGCUCACUAAAAAGAUUACAACAAUACACCCCAUGCAUGUAUUUCUACCUAUCACCUAUGUAACCUUUGUCAUGCUCUUCAGAGAGUCAUCGACGGGAAAAGGAAUUACCGGUAAGUUGACAGGACUUUCCACACUGUUUCUGGUAGCAGCUUAUGAUUGAAUUGAUGGUAGAAGACAUGGCCCACUUAAUCAAAGAUAAUCUGUAUAGAGUGGCACCUUAACCACCACUGGUGAAAUAGAAGAUGACUAGUGGAUGGUCAUCACUUUGCAGCUCACUUUCACUUUCUGCAGCCCAUCUCUUCUCAUUCACAAUCAUUGUCUUUGGAGGAAUGGUGACAGUGCAGUCCUCAUGACUGGGCAGGCUUAUAUUGCUCAAAUGUCCUGAUGAACCCGACGUGAUUGGCGGGAUCCCAUCAAACAGUCUGUCAAAAUUCAAGGUCACUGACAGAAAUGAUAUAAACUUCUUGUCCAGGAUAUCAGUUUGCAACGGAGAAUCAUUGAAGCUCAUUCUUGGUACAAAGAUUAUUGAAGACCUGAGAGUGUGUCAUGACCUUGGCCCAUGGCAAUUCUGGCAAGUUCAAGGUCACUGGCUUAAAAGGUAUAAAACACUUGUGUAGGCUGUAACUUUGUAAUGGAGAAUCAUUGGAAGCUCUUACUUGCUACAGAGAUUGUUUAUGACCUGGAAGUUUGUCUUGACCUUGACCAAGGUCAUUCUGGCAAGUUCAAGGUCACUGGCAGAUAAGAGAUAACAUUCUUGUCCAGUCAAUAACUUUGUAACUGAGCUUUAAUUUGCUACAAAAAUUUUUUUCUGACCUGAGGGUCAUUGUGACAAGUUCAAGUUCAAGGAGAAAAAUUGGAUGUCCAUAUUUCACUCUUAGAUUAAUCAUGUCCAAAGAUCUGUCUUUUUUUUACCAAAGUCAUUUUGGUAAGUUCAAGGUCACAUUUACACAUUCUAAAUAAAAGAAUUGCAGCAGGGUUAUAACCUUAUUAUUUU